RNAcentral lists this long non-coding RNA (400 nucleotides) under Carica papaya (papaya). Its description in RNAcentral is "long non-coding RNA (CPAP_LNC006262)". Lineage: Eukaryota; Viridiplantae; Streptophyta; Magnoliopsida; Brassicales; Caricaceae. The record is from RNAcentral.
GGAAAGGAGGGAGCUGCCUAACCCUCCCCCACUGCCACAGUUUGAGCCACCCUUAUAACAGAAAGAUCCGGAGCCACCUCGGUAUAACCCUGCUCCUCUACCAUACCAUCUAGCACUGCCACAAUAUAAUCUAGUGUCUUUACUGCAUCAUUCGGCACUGCCACAAUACAAUCCCUCGUAUCCACCGUAUCAUCUAGCACCACCACAAGGCCACCCAGUUCCUCUCUAGCAUAAUCCAGUCCCUCUUUCAUAGGAUCUAGUUCCCCUAUGAUAGACCCACGCUAUAUUGAAAGGUACAAAAGACUAAACUCAUAUACCUUUAUAGGAGCAUUCUCUUUUGAAGAUGCCGAGUAUUUGUUAGCUAAGACAGAGAAGGCAUUCGCAACUCUUGGGGUGGUUC